UGCAGUCGAGCGGCAGCGACAACAUUGAUUCUUCGGAGGAUUUGUUGGGCGGCGAGCGGCGGACGGGUGAGUAAUGGCUGGGAACCUGCCCUGACGUGGGGGAUAACAGUUGGAAACGACUGCUAAUACCGCAUGAUGUCUUUGGACCAAAGAGGAGGACCUUCGGGCUUCUCGCGUCGGGGUGGGCCCAGUUGGGAUUAGCUAGUUGGUGAGGUAAUGGCUCACCAAGGCGACGAUCCCUAGCUGGUUUGAGAGGAUGAUCAGCCACACUGGAACUGAGACACGGUCCAGACUCCUACGGGAGGCAGCAGUGGGGAAUAUUGCACAAUGGGCGCAAGCCUGAUGCAGCCAUGCCGCGUGUGUGAAGAAGGCCUUCGGGUUGUAAAGCACUUUCAGCAGUGAGGAAGGCGUAGUGGUUAAUACCCGCUGCGCUUGACGUUAGCUGCAGAAGAAGCACCGGCUAACUCCGUGCCAGCAGCCGCGGUAAUACGGAGGGUGCGAGCGUUAAUCGGAAUUACUGGGCGUAAAGCGCAUGCAGGCGGUUUGUUAAGCAAGAUGUGAAAGCCCCGGGCUCAACCUGGGAACCGCAUUUUGAACUGGCAGGCUAGAGUCUUGUAGAGGGGGGUAGAAUUUCAGGUGUAGCGGUGAAAUGCGUAGAGAUCUGAAGGAAUACCGGUGGCGAAGGCGGCCCCCUGGGACAAAGACUGACGCUCAGAUGCGAAAGCGUGGGGGAGCAAAAC
This 740-nucleotide ribosomal RNA is filed under the name uncultured Enterovibrio sp. RNAcentral's name for it is "bacterial SSU rRNA". It matches the Rfam family "Bacterial small subunit ribosomal RNA", at positions 56 to 774 of the family's 1533-position model. Lineage: Bacteria; Pseudomonadati; Pseudomonadota; Gammaproteobacteria; Vibrionales; Vibrionaceae. The record is from RNAcentral.